Molecule: transfer RNA, 73 nt
Filed under: Pteropus alecto (black flying fox)
Lineage: Eukaryota; Metazoa; Chordata; Mammalia; Chiroptera; Pteropodidae
Also listed under: 1 other name
Rfam family: tRNA
About the family: Transfer RNA (tRNA) molecules are approximately 80 nucleotides in length. Their secondary structure includes four short double-helical elements and three loops (D, anti-codon, and T loops).
Source: Rfam by way of RNAcentral
GGUUCCAUAGUGUAGCAGUUAGCACAUCUGCUUUACACGCAGAAGGGCCUGGGUUAGCACUCCAGUGGAGCCA